GGAGAGGUGCCGGAGCGGCUGAACGGGCACGACUGGAAAUCGUGUGUGGGCUACAACCCACCGAGGGUUCGAAUCCCUCUCUCUCCG
This 87-nucleotide transfer RNA is filed under the name Actinomycetota bacterium. RNAcentral's name for it is "tRNA-Ser". It matches the Rfam family "tRNA". Rfam says of the family: Transfer RNA (tRNA) molecules are approximately 80 nucleotides in length. Their secondary structure includes four short double-helical elements and three loops (D, anti-codon, and T loops). The record is from RNAcentral. Lineage: Bacteria; Bacillati; Actinomycetota.